Molecule: unclassified non-coding RNA, 253 nt
Filed under: uncultured delta proteobacterium
Lineage: Bacteria; Deltaproteobacteria
Description: contains 16S-23S intergenic spacer region
Rfam family: Bacterial small subunit ribosomal RNA
Source: RNAcentral
GACAGAGGGCGCAAGCGUUGUUCGGAUUUACUGGGCGUAAAGGGCGUGUAGGCGGAUGUGCAAGUUGGGGGUGAAAGGCCAGGGCUUAACCCGGGACGGUCUCCCAAAACUGCACGUCUAGAGAAAGUCAGAGGCAGGUGGAAUUCCAGGUGUAGAGGUGAAAUUCGUAGAGAUCUGGAGGAACACCGGCGGCGAAGGCGGCCUGCUGGGGCUUUUCUGACGCUGAGGCGCGAAAGCGUGGGGAGCAAACAGG